RNAcentral lists this unclassified non-coding RNA (223 nucleotides) under plant metagenome. RNAcentral describes it as "partial contains small subunit ribosomal RNA, internal transcribed spacer 1, and 5.8S ribosomal RNA". The stretch from base 1 to 54 matches the Rfam family "Eukaryotic small subunit ribosomal RNA", at positions 1778 to 1831 of the family's 1831-position model. The record is from RNAcentral.
GGAAGUAAAAGUCGUAACAUGGUCUCCGUUGGUGAACCAGCGGAGGGAUCAUUAUCGAGUUUAUAACUCCCAGACCCUAUGUGAACUUACCACUUGUUGCUUCGGCGCGCGCUUCGGCGCCGCCGAGGACACUUAAACUCUUUGUUUUUAUAAGCAUUUCUGAGUGGCCGAAAGGCAAAAUACAAAUGAAUCAAAACUUUCAACAACGGAUCUCUUGGUUCUG